GCGGCUACUGCUAUCAGGUUUCGACUAAGCCAUGCGAGUCAAGGGGUCGUAAGACACCGGCGUACUGCUCAGUAACACGCGGACAAUCUACCCCCAGGUGGAGGAUAACCUCGGGAAACUGAGGCUAAUACCCCAUAGUUGUCAUGUGCUGGAAUGCUUUGACGAUGAAAGAAUUUCGCCUGAGGAUGAGUCUGCGGCCUAUCAGGUAGUAUGUGGUGUAAAGGACCACAUAGCCUAAGACGGGUACGGGCCUUGAAAGAGGGAGCCCGGAGAUGGACUCUGAGACACUAGUCCAGGCCCUACGGGGCGCAGCAGGCGCGAAAACUGUGCAAUGCGCGCAAGCGCGACACGGGAAGCCUGAGUGCCUUAACUAUGUUAAGGCUUUUCUUGAUCCUAAAAAGCUCAAGGAAUAAGAGCUGGGUAAGACGGGUGCCAGCCGCCGCGGUAACACCCGCGGCUCGAGUGGUAGUCACUUUUGUUGAGCCUAAAGCGUUUGUAGCCGGAUUUGUAAAUCUCUAGGAAAAUACUUCUGCUUAACUGAAGAAAUUUUGGAGAGACUGCAAAUCUAGGGACCGGGUGAGGUUGAAUGUACUUCUGGGGUAGGGGUAAAAUCCUGUAAUCCUGGAAGGACGACCGGUGGCGAAGGCGUUCAACUAGAACGGAUCCGACGGUGAGGAACGAAGGCUAGGGGAGCAAACCGGAUUAGAUACCCGGGUAGUCCUAGCUGUAAACACUGCCCACUUGGUGUUGCAUCUCCGGUAAGGGGGUGCAGUGCCGUAGCGAAGGUGUUAAGUGGGCCGCUUGGGGAGUAUGGUCGCAAGGCUGAAACUUAA
This 833-nucleotide ribosomal RNA is filed under the name archaeon enrichment culture. Its description in RNAcentral is "bacterial SSU rRNA". It matches the Rfam family "Archaeal small subunit ribosomal RNA", at positions 20 to 859 of the family's 1478-position model. The record is from RNAcentral.